RNAcentral lists this non-coding RNA (18 nucleotides) under Rattus norvegicus (Norway rat). The record is from RNAcentral. Lineage: Eukaryota; Metazoa; Chordata; Mammalia; Rodentia; Muridae.
AGGAAGAAACAAACCUGU